GGUAGAAUGGCUGAGUAUUAGGCGGUAAAUUGUAAAUUUAUUAAGAAGAUAAAAUAUCUUUUCUAUCA
RNAcentral lists this transfer RNA (68 nucleotides) under Pseudophyllus titan. Its description in RNAcentral is "tRNA-Tyr". The record is from RNAcentral. Lineage: Eukaryota; Metazoa; Arthropoda; Insecta; Orthoptera; Tettigoniidae.